Molecule: transfer RNA, 94 nt
Filed under: Nitrososphaerota archaeon
Lineage: Archaea; Thermoproteati; Nitrososphaerota
Also listed under: 3 other names
Description: Thaumarchaeota archaeon tRNA-Glu
Rfam family: tRNA
About the family: Transfer RNA (tRNA) molecules are approximately 80 nucleotides in length.
Source: RNAcentral
GCUCCGGUCGUCUAGUCCGGUCAAAGCUUGUUGGCGCGAUCAAGGAUAGUGGCCUCUCGAGUCACCGACACGGGUUCGAAUCCCGUCCGGAGCA